This is a long non-coding RNA of Dreissena polymorpha, 3793 nucleotides long. RefSeq lists it as uncharacterized. The transcript has 3 exons. Lineage: Eukaryota; Metazoa; Mollusca; Bivalvia; Myida; Dreissenidae. The record is from RefSeq and is a predicted model, not a curated record.
GAUGAAAAGGCAAUUGUUAUCAGUAUCAAAAUCCUCCUCACCUUUUUUCCUAAUAUAAGCUGUAUAAAUAUCAAUGAUAAAAGUUGUGUUCUCUUACCCUUUGUGACUGAACAUAUUCACAAGAGAUAAAACUGUCUGUCAAAGUGUCAGGAUAAAUAUGAGACUCAUAGCUCUGUAAAAACAGGGCUUUAUGCAUGUGCAUAGUGUUGUGCCAGAUUAGCCUCAUUUUUACCCUUUAAGAAAGUCUCUUCUAGACAAAAAUCAAGUCUAGUUGGAAAUAUGUCAUCCCUGAUAAUCCUGUGUAGACUGCAAAAGCAAAUCUAGGCCGACAUUUAAUAACACACAUGCAUUAAGCCUUGUCUUCCCAGAACAAGGCUCAUACGCAUGAAAUUAUUUAUGUGUUACCAAAAUUAAUGUCUUAUAAACCUGUGGCAAGACCAGGGCUGGAUCAAGCAUGAUGUAACUACCUGCUGAAUAUUGCAAUACUUACAUUCCUCUGCCCCUCUGUUAGAUAGAAUGAUACAUGUACCUGUCUACUGUAUUUUGGUUUUGAUGCAUUUUGUUCAUGGAUUGUUUUAUCUUCUGUUGUGCAGUCAAGCGCUACGGUGAGUUAUGGUCAGAAUUCAUCCCUUUGCAUUAUAAGAGUUUAAAUUAUAAUGAGUGUUAUAUAUAUAUAUAUAAAUCAAAACAAACUGUUUCAUUAAAAAAAAUGCAUUAGGGAAAAUGGGUUCACAGAUACAUGUAGGUUAACUCUCUAAUUAAAUAUUUAUGCCCCCCUUCGAAGAAGAGGGGGUAUAUUGCUUUGCACAUGUCGGUCGGUAGGUCUGUCGGUCUGUCUGUCGGUCGGUCCGUCCGUCCACCCAGUGGUUUCCGGAUGAUAACUCAAGAACGCUUGGGGCUAGGAUCAUGAAACUUCAUAGGUACAUUGAUCAUGACUUGCAGAUGACCCCUAUUGAUUUUGAGGACACUAGGUCAAAGGUCAAGGUCACGGUGACCCGAAAUAGUAAAAUGGUUUUCGGAUGAUAACUCAAGAAUGCAUACGCCUAGGAUCAUGAAACUUCAUAGGUAGAUUGAUCAUGACUCGCAGAUGACCCCUAUUGAUUUUGAGGUCACAAGGUCAAAGGUCAAGGUCACGGUGACCCGAAAUAGUAAAAUGAUUUUCGGAUGAUAACUCAAGAACUCUUUUGCCUAGGAUCAUGACACUUCAUAGGUACAUUGAUCGUGACUCGCAGAUGACCCCUAUUGAUUUUCAGGUCACUAGGUCAAAGGUCAAGGUCACAGUGACAAAAAUCGUAUUCACACAAUGGCUGCCACUACAACGGACAGCCCAUAUGGGGGGCAUGCAUGUUUUACAAACAGCCCUUGUCUAAUGUAUCAUCUGUUUUAGCACAUUGUAAUCAUAAAUGAGCAGGCAACAAUAAGUCAUAUACCAUAUGCAACCAGGGUAGCCUGACCAGCUUGCCCAAUCCUGCAGUUAAGUCAGGAGCUACCAUGUCUGCUAUAAAGUCACCCAAGGUUUCGUGGUCUCAUAAGUGGACAGGGUAGCCUGACCAGCCUGCCCAAUCCUGCAGUUCAGUCAGGAGCUACCAUGUCUGCUAUAAAGUCACCCAAGGUUUCGUGGUCUCAUAAGUGGACAUGGUAGCUCCUGACCAGACAGCGAUUCCCACAAUUGGUGGGAGCAACUCUGGCAGCAUAUGGAAUAAUACCCAUUUUUGCAUGAGGCGAUACAAGUUAAGUUAAGUUAGUACUUAGUUGGUAUCUGUCUGAGUGAAAUGUUCUCAAUGUAACUUCUUUUUCCGUGACACUUCCUUACUAACUUAAUAACACCUGGUUUGAUUUGUCAUUAUGACGCAACAAAUGCUUUUUGCAUGUGGAUGCAUGUAACACACUUUUUAUUCCAGAAACCUAAAAUAAACUUAAAAUUUACUCUUUGUUCUUAACUUAGUUUCAGGAUAAAUAACAUGUUCAUGACCUUUUUAGCCCACCUGAGCACAAGGUGCUUAUUGGAGCUUUUGUAAUCGCCUUUUGUCGGUCGUGUGUUGUCAAGCGUGCGGCGUCAGCAUUGGCCUUGUUUACACUCUAGAGGUUGCAAUUUUUGUCUAAUCUUAAUCAUACUUUGUCAGAAGUUUUGUCCCAAUUAUAUCUUGGACGACUAUGAAAACUGUUCCAAUUGGUUGCAAAACAUAAAUGCUAGGUGCUGGCAUUUUUCCUGCUAUAGCUAAAGUAAAACCUUGUUAAAAAGCCAGAAGUCAUGUUUUUUGUCCAAACUUCAUGACAUUUUGUCAGAUUAUUUGUUUUAAUGAUAUUUUUGAUAAAUUCAAAAUGGUUCUGGUCUUUAGAAAAACAUGGCCGCCAGGGGGCGGAGCAUUUUUCCUUAUAUGGCGAUAGUAAAACCUUAUUAACACUCUUAAAGUCAUAUUUUGUUCUCCAAUCUUUAUGAAACUUUGUCAGAACAUUGGUUCUAAUGAUAUCUAGGCUGAGUUUUUAAAUGGUUUCUGUCUGUUCAUUUACCUUUUUUGUCCACUCGAUGCUUCAUUACCCUUUUAGGAAUUUUCUUGGUGACUCACUGUCAUACCUAAAGGUCAAAGGUUUGAGUCUCUUUUUUGUGUCUGGUCCAUACCAAUUGAAGGAUAAUGAUGAAACAAGGCAUAAAUGUAAUAUUCAUUGAGAUGAUAUGCAGAGGCAUGAGUCAGUCACACUUGUUUAAGGUCAAGGUCACUAUUGAAGGUCAAAAGUUUGAGCUUCUGCUUUUGUUUCCUCUCCAUUUCUCUUACACCCUUAGAUGUAUUUCCUUUAAAAUGGCCAAAAUUGUGAUGGUCAUUGAGAAAAAGUACAGAAUGGAUUUGCAUGUGCUGCAGGAAAAAGUUCAAAGUCAUUCUUGAAGGCAAUGAGUGUUUUGCAUUCAUUUUUAUGUCUGCUCCAUAUCUCCUAUACCCGUUGAGGGAUUUUCAUGAAACUUAGCCACACUGUUAAUGACAUUAAAACAAAGUGCAGUAGGUAUGAGUCAGUCAAGGACACACUUGAAGGCCAAUAAGUUCAGCCUUAUUUGUUUUUUCACCUGCUUUAUUUUUCCUAUACCCAUUAAAGGACUGUACAAAAAGUUAAUCACACAGAUAUCCACAUGAAAUGAGUCCAUCAGGCUGCUCAAAGUGAAGGUCACCAAUUCAAGGUGUAAAGAAUUGUUGCCAAAGAUAAACAUUUCUCUUAAUUGUUCCAUUAGAAAUCAACACAAUGAUCUGGUUGUGUAAGUUAACCUAUGAAUGGUGUCUUAUAUUCCAAGGAGACAGAGUUGUAUGAUUACCAGCAGGUAUUGGUUAUAUGGUUUGAGCUAUGCAUAAUUAUCUGAUUGUUUAAGUAGAACCAUCAAAAUUACAUGUAAAUAUAUAUUCUGCUUAUAUUUAAGCUGUGCAUAAUUUGCCUGUGUGUUAUGAUAAGACAAUGUAAGAUAUGAAUGAUUACCUGUGUGUUAUGAUUAUACGAUGUAAACUAUGUGCCUUAAAAAAAUUGUUCUGGGCUAAAUGCAUGUGCGUAAAGUGUUUUCCAAAGUAAGCCUGUGCAGUCUGCACAGGCUUAUUGGUAAUGACACUUCUCGCUUUUAUGAAAUUUUUCAUUAAAAAAAAAUCUUCUCUUCUUAGAGAAAAUUCCGUUUGGCCAAAAGUGGCGUCCCUGAUUAGCCUUUGCAGACUGCAUAAGCCAAUCUGGGACAACACUUCACACAUAUGUAUAAAGCCCAGUUUUCCCUUAAAGAGGCCCAUACAAUGUAAUCCAUGCGUAAUUGCCUCCAUGUUCUCAU